This 529-nucleotide ribosomal RNA is filed under the name Pseudarthrobacter oxydans. RNAcentral describes it as "bacterial SSU rRNA". It matches the Rfam family "Bacterial small subunit ribosomal RNA", at positions 375 to 914 of the family's 1533-position model. The record is from RNAcentral. Lineage: Bacteria; Bacillati; Actinomycetota; Actinomycetes; Micrococcales; Micrococcaceae.
GCGAAAGCCUGAUGCAGCGACGCCGCGUGAGGGAUGACGGCCUUCGGGUUGUAAACCUCUUUCAGUAGGGAAGAAGCGAAAGUGACGGUACCUGCAGAAGAAGCGCCGGCUAACUACGUGCCAGCAGCCGCGGUAAUACGUAGGGCGCAAGCGUUAUCCGGAAUUAUUGGGCGUAAAGAGCUCGUAGGCCGUUUGUCGCGUCUGCCGUGAAAGUCCGGGGCUCAACUCCGGAUCUGCGGUGGGUACGGGCAGACUAGAGUGAUGUAGGGGAGACUGGAAUUCCUGGUGUAGCGGUGAAAUGCGCAGAUAUCAGGAGGAACACCGAUGGCGAAGGCAGGUCUCUGGGCAUUAACUGACGCUGAGGAGCGAAAGCAUGGGGAGCGAACAGGAUUAGAUACCCUGGUAGUCCAUGCCGUAAACGUUGGGCACUAGGUGUGGGGGACAUUCCACGUUUUCCGCGCCGUAGCUAACGCAUUAAGUGCCCCGCCUGGGGAGUACGGCCGCAAGGUUAAAACUCAAAGGAAUUGAC